This 46-nucleotide transfer RNA is filed under the name Mayetiola destructor (Hessian fly). RNAcentral's name for it is "partial tRNA-Leu". The record is from RNAcentral. Lineage: Eukaryota; Metazoa; Arthropoda; Insecta; Diptera; Cecidomyiidae.
UUUUUUAUGACAGAUUAAUUGUAUUAAAUUUAGAAUUUAAUUAUUU